UAACCUGCCUCUUAGCGGGGGAUAACUAUUGGAAACGAUAGCUAAUACCGCAUAAAAGUCGAUAUCGCAUGACAUUGAUUUGAAAGGUGCAAUUGCAUCACUAAGAGAUGGACCUGCGUUGUAUUAGCUAGUUGGUGAGGUAACGGCUCACCAAGGCGACGAUACAUAGCCGACCUGAGAGGGUGAUCGGCCACACUGGGACUGAGACACGGCCCAG
RNAcentral lists this ribosomal RNA (217 nucleotides) under uncultured bacterium. Its description in RNAcentral is "partial 16S ribosomal RNA". It matches the Rfam family "Bacterial small subunit ribosomal RNA", at positions 122 to 334 of the family's 1533-position model. The record is from RNAcentral.